RNAcentral lists this ribosomal RNA (489 nucleotides) under uncultured bacterium. RNAcentral describes it as "partial 16S ribosomal RNA". It matches the Rfam family "Bacterial small subunit ribosomal RNA", at positions 28 to 507 of the family's 1533-position model. The record is from RNAcentral.
GACGAACGCUGGCGGCGUGCUUAACACAUGCAAGUCGAACGGUGAAGGGACCAGCUUGCUGGUUCUGGAUGAGUGGCGAACGGGUGAGUAACACGUGAGUAACCUGCCCCCUUCUUCUGGAUAACCGCAUGAAAGUGUGGCUAAUACGGGAUAUUCUGGGUCUGUCGCAUGGCGGGCCCGGGAAAGAUAUUGCUUCGGUGGGGGAUGGGCUCGCGGCCUAUCAGCUUGUUGGUGGGGUGAUGGCCUACCAAGGCGGUGACGGGUAGCCGGCCUGAGAGGGUGGACGGUCACACUGGGACUGAGACACGGCCCAGACUCCUACGGGAGGCAGCAGUGGGGAAGAUUGCACAAUGGGCGCAAGCCUGAUGCAGCGACGCCGCGUGAGGGAUGGAGGCCUUCGGGGUGUAAACCUCUUUCGCCAGUGAAGCAGGCCUGCUCCGUGUGGGUGGGUUGACGGUAGCUGGAGAAGAAGCGCCGGCUAACUACGUG